UCCCUCCUUCUCUCUCUCUCUCUCUCUCUCUCUCUCUCUGGGAUCGAAAGAAAGAGCAAGGAAGGAAUCGGGAUAGACAGAGGUCGGAAGGGGCUAACGGCGUUCGGCCUUAGGAAUCGGAGGAGGCAACGGGAUCGGGGUCUUUGGCCGGUUGCAGGUUGGGUGAAGGGAGGAAAUUGGCUUCUGGAGUUGAUGGACGUCGGGCAGAGAAGAAGAGGGAGGAGGCUGGGUCGGAGCUCUCGUGUGGGAAGAGGAGUGAAUGGGGAAGAAAAAGCUUGCGGGAUUUGAGCGUGGGAAGAGAAGUGACCGAAUGAGAGCUUCGCUCCCAUUUUAAAGGCGCAAAAAGGCAACGAUGGAGGUGAGUAUGGGACGACUGCAACGGCGCCAAAUUGCAGGCCUGGGCAAUGUAGCAAGCGGCGGGGAUUUGACUGUAGCAAGACUUCCGUAUGGGUUUUGGAUUUCAACAGGCUCAGCAAACGAAGCUUAUGGAACAGCAACACCAACACAAAUUGCAAAUGCAGGAACAAGAGUUGUGACCACCAAGACAUCAUCAGUGGCAGCAAAGUGCUUGUGUAAGAAAAUCUGUAUCGUUGGAUUCUGGGGCAAAUCUCAGUAGACAAGUGAAAUUAUGGGGCUGUUUGGAAGCAGGAUUUAGGCUGAAUUUGAGGCGGUUUUUUAGUGAAAUCCAGCCAAACGGCCUAAAAUGCAAAACCAAAUCUCACGGCGGAAAAUUCCGCCUUUUCAUGCUAAAUGUCGGAUUUCAAAAAUCCUGUUUUUUUGUCGGAUUUACGAAAUCUAUUGGCAUGAGAGUAAGAGUCCACUCAUUAAAUCCGCUCUAUAGCCAAAAAGUCACACGGGAUUUAAUAGGAUUUAUCAUGAAUGUUACCAAACAGUUUUCAGGAUUCAGACACCUCUGGAUUUCCGAAUUCCAGAUUUAGAGGAUUUAUGAAAUCCAACUAAAUUCAAAUCCUGGGUGCUACCAAACAGCCCCUAAAGAUGCUUUUGGAUGAUUUAGUAUCCUGGAUCCAUCUCCUUACUAUGGACAGGAAAUUGUGCAGCCCAAAUUCUGGUUAUUAGAUAUGAGUAAUGGACUGGGCCGAAGGUUGAUUAUCUUCAAAUGAAGGGCUGGCCGUUUAACUGGAUUUAACAGACAAUGCAGAAACUUUAGUGCUCAGGCGCUGAGACCUUCAUCUGUAAAACCAGUUUCCACUCUUUUCGCCACAGCACUAAGCUUCAAUUCAAGUUCAAUCACUAGGAAUACUUGGUAGUCCAUCAAUUGAUUCUCUCAUAGUUCGCCAAGGGCUGUCAGACAAGAUGAAGAACAUCUUGUGAAGAUUCGACAUUCCUCAGCACAAAAAUGACCGAAUUUUUUAGGGAUUAAUUUAGAGUAUAUUCUUGUUGGGAGGGGUUUCUUUAUGCAAUCGUACCAUGACGAAAUCUCUAGGAUUACAAAUUUUGCGGCAACGAUGUUGAUCAGCUAAGUUGCUUGCAAUGAUUGUUUGAAAAGGCUAGCUUAUUUUUAACAUUCUCGAGCAUGGAGGUAAGUUGUUCUGUUAAAUCUAUUGCUGCCUUACUUUUACAAUUGGGCAAAACAACAAGAUCCAAUGUAUGAUUGGGUUUUUUGGUGUUUACUAUACUGGAGGGGGAGCGACAUAGUGCGCUUUGUCAUGGAAUUGUAUGCAAAUUCUGCCUGACCUAACACUUCAUCACAUGCUUAGGGUUAUCUUUGACUAAGCAACGUAAUUUGUUAUCGAGCAUCCUAUUUACUUCUUCAAUGUCCAUUUGACUGACGGUGAUAUGCUCAAAUUUAAUUGAAGUUCUGUAUGCAUGCACCUUCAUAAUUCCCUUCAAAAGUGACUAAUAAAUUUUAUGUUUUGAUCUGAAUUGAGACUUCUUGGAAUGUUGUGAAAACGAACUAUGCUGUAAAAGAAUAAAUGAGCUAUA
This is an RNA transcript of Dendrobium catenatum, 1944 nucleotides long. RefSeq lists it as uncharacterized. The transcript has 2 exons. NCBI's taxonomy places the organism in Eukaryota, Viridiplantae, Streptophyta, Magnoliopsida, Asparagales, Orchidaceae. The record is from RefSeq and is a predicted model, not a curated record.